GAUGAACGCUGGCGGCGUGCCUAAUACAUGCAAGUCGAGCGAACAGACGAGGAGCUUGCUCCUCUGACGUUAGCGGCGGACGGGUGAGUAACACGUGGAUAACCUACCUAUAAGACUGGGAUAACUUCGGGAAACCGGAGCUAAUACCGGAUAAUAUAUUGAACCGCAUGGUUCAAUAGUGAAAGACGGUUUUGCUGUCACUUAUAGAUGGAUCCGCGCCGCAUUAGCUAGUUGGUAAGGUAACGGCUUACCAAGGCAACGAUGCGUAGCCGACCUGAGAGGGUGAGCGGCCACACUGGAAGUGAGACACGGUCCAGACUCCUACGGGAGGCAGCAGUAGGGAAUCUUCCGCAAUGGGCGAAAGCCUGACGGAGAAACGCCGCGUGAGUGAUGAAGGUCUUCGGAUCGUAAAACUCUGUUAUUAGGGAAGAACAAAUGUGUAAGUAACUAUGCACGUCUUGACGGUACCUAAUCAGAAAGCCACGGCUAACUACGUG
This 497-nucleotide ribosomal RNA is filed under the name uncultured bacterium. Its description in RNAcentral is "partial 16S ribosomal RNA". It matches the Rfam family "Bacterial small subunit ribosomal RNA", at positions 28 to 507 of the family's 1533-position model. The record is from RNAcentral.